RNAcentral lists this ribosomal RNA (484 nucleotides) under uncultured bacterium. Its description in RNAcentral is "partial 16S ribosomal RNA". It matches the Rfam family "Bacterial small subunit ribosomal RNA", at positions 30 to 507 of the family's 1533-position model. The record is from RNAcentral.
AUUGAACGCUGGCGGCAGGCCUAACACAUGCAAGUCGAGCGGAUGAAGGGAGCUUGCUCCUGGAUUCAGCGGCGGACGGGUGAGUAAUGCCUAGGAAUCUGCCUGGUAGUGGGGGAUAACGUCCGGAAACGGGCGCUAAUACCGCAUACGUCCUGAGGGAGAAAGUGGGGGAUCUCGGGCCCUACGGUUAUCGGAGAAGCCUAGGUCGGAUUAGCUAGUUGGUGGGGUAAAGGCCUACCAAGGCGACGAUCCGUAACUGGUCUGAGAGGAUGAUCAGUCACACUGGAACUGAGACACGGUCCAGACUCCUACGGGAGGCAGCAGUGGGGAAUAUUGGACAAUGGGCGAAAGCCUGAUCCAGCCAUGCCGCGUGUGUGAAGAAGGUCUUCGGAUUGUAAAGCACUUUAAGUUGGGAGGAAGGGCAGUAAGUUAAUACCUUGCUGUUUUGACGUUACCAACAGAAUAAGCACCGGCUAACUUCGUG